CCAUGAAUAUAUUUAAGCAGCUGUUUGCAUGUUCAUGUGUAUCAUUUCUAUUGUUUUCCAUAUAUUGUUACCUGCGGCAUAUUGGAAAGCAGCAAGUUGUGUAGCACAUGGGUAUUCUGCAGAGUUAUAGGACUUUGAAAUUAGCUUGACUUUUUGAAGAAAAAGUAGAGCUAUUGCACUCUUUGGUAAAGUCAGAUAUCUCUGUUACUAUCAAAGCUAUUGACUUAGUUUAAACAUAUAAUUUUAUUUUCAUUAUAAAUUAUACACAAAGUCAAACCGUUUUGUAUAGCAAUAAACAAUAAGAUGAACAUAAGUUUCUAGUCUAAGGAUAUUAUGUUAACAAGACUAUAGAGGCUUAUAUUAAUACAGCUCCUUGAAAAUUUGUCUUGUGGUGUUCAGUGUACGACUACUUAGGGAAUAGAGAAGAAGAAGAAAAUGAUGAGAAAAAACAUCAAAGAAGAGGGGACAUAGGAUCGUUGUUUCAAUGAAGAUUUUAAAGAGAUUGAAUGCUGAACUAUUGACUUGAAAAUUAUAACAGUUAUUUACUAUCAAAGUCUACACCAGGAGAAACAAUCCAUAUAACUCUGAUUUGAGUUUUGACAGUUAUGCCCAUUUUUAACUUAGAAUUUUUUGGUUAGAGGUUUUGAUAAAAUAAAUAUCUCUCUGUUGCUAUCAAAGCGUUUAACUUGAAACUUAAAACAGUCAUUUACUAUCAACGUCUACACCAGAUGAAACAACCCCAUAACUCUGUUUAAAUUUUUACAGAGUUAUGCUCCUUUUUAACUUAGAAUAUUUAGUUAAAGUUUUAUUAAGUUUUUACUGGCAAAGCUCUUGAAUUCAGAGUCAAGCACUGAAAAAAGUCUUUAUGGACAGCUCUUAUUUGUUACUUAAGAAAUAAUAAGUGGUUUAUCAUAGAAUAACUCGUGUUUUGAGUUCUUAUGAGUAAGAAUAUGAUAAUCACGAGGGCCACAGGCCUGAGUGAUACAUUGUUUCGCAUAAGAAUGAAAAACUCGGGUUAUUCUGCAAUAAAUCACAUUUAGGAACUUGUUAUUUAGAUUCAAACACAACAUACUAGUGUGGGUUAUUGCAGAUUCUAACACGAUAUGAUUUAUUUUCCUAUUAAACAAAGAAGGCUGAAAACAGUGAAGUAUUAUACAACAAUUCACUGUUCUGAUGUCACAAUUAUUACGUCAUGGCGUCAAAUGGCAUAGCAGGGUGCUGGAAAAGAAACCGAUUGAAAACAGGCAAAUAUUUUAUGAAUGCUGUCAAGGAUGUACUUUAAAAUCGUUGGUAACUUGUUAGAAUUGAAAUAAUAAAUCUCAUUAAGUGAUUUACUCUUGAAUAAAAACAUUGUUGUUCAGAUGCGUAUUAUUAUAUCGCUUGGGCUGCGCCCUCAUGAUAUAAUUCCUUCUCAUCUGAACUCCAAACAAUGAUUUAUUCAGCAACAAACCACUAAAUGAGAUAUAUUAUUUCUUAAAUAACCUGAGAUAGAUUUUGCUCUACAUGUAUGUAGGUUAUUUGCUGGUGAUGUGUUAGAAUAUAUGAUAUACAUACAGUCCACAUAAUUAUGCAAUCAUGUGUGCAUCAAAUUGCAAUGUACUAUGUCAAUGCAUGCAGGGGUUACAUUCAUUACCUUUAGUGAUAGCUCUAGUUGCUGUUUGAAUUUGAGCAGGACAGAAAUUUGACUUUUCUUGCGUAUUACAUUGGACUUUGCAGUAAGUUGCAUUUUUAAGGUACUUUAAUUGUUACUUUUCAUAACAAACUUAAAAUUGUUAUUGUUCAUAGUUGCUGGAUUGUUUUCCUGUGACCUUUAGUAUUUUAAGUAACCACUUGACGUAACAUCUAUAUACUGUACUGUGCAGGCCCAUUAUGUGUUACAAUAAAUCUAUUGUGUAAAUUUUAGAAACAUCCAAGAUUGCAACUAGACAUAUCCUCACCCGUGAACCACCUAAGGUGUCUCCAUAACACUUGGUAUGUGGCACCAUGGUAAGAAUAUCUCUUAAAUUUGCUGGACAGGUUGUGUUUGCCCCUUUAAGAAAUGGCUCGAGCUGAAAAUAUGAACAUUUUUAAAUAACUUCACUUGAUGGGUUUUCCCAAAUUUGGUCUAUAGCAUUAUAAAGUCCUCCUCAGAUGUGUUUAUAUCAUGCUGUUUGAUUUUUUUCUAGGGGCUGCCAGAGAAAUAGAAAAACCUUCAAGUAGUUUCAUCACUUAAACCACAGUGUGGACUUUCACCAAACUUGUUCAGAAAAAGUCCUAUACGGACCUAUCUAAAGUUUUUUAUCUUCAGUAGAAAACUCUUAACCACUUCUUUUCAUGAGCAACUUAAUGUAUCUUCACCAAAAAUGCAGCAUCCUCAUAUGGCUUGCUUUCAAGUUUGUCAAAUGGUUCCACUUUAGCCCCUUGUAGGGGCCAAUAGAGAUAAGAAUGGAAAAAAACAACAAUAAACUUCUCAUAAACUGCUUGAUGUAUUUUUAUACCACUGGUGUUGGAAGAACUGGAUGACAUAUGAAGUUGCAGAGAAGCAAAGAAAAAAACUGUGUAUCAAGAAUUCCAGAAAUAAAGGGGUUGCAGAUCAUUGUAGGAUAUUGUUAUGAGACAUAAGGAGUUAUCCAGCAGAGUUGAUGAUGCCAAUUAAUUAUGGAGUAUAAGUAAACGAGCUUAACAAACCUACGUCAGAGUAGUGUAUUAAUUUACACCCUGUGACGAUUCCAUCAAAUCUGAUUGGCAGAAUUUUUUAUGACUGAAGGGGUGGCAGAUAGUAAGCAGGUUGGAAGCUGAAUUACCUAAGCAAGAUUCCAUGGGCAACUGACAACACAGCCAUUGAAUAUCUAAAACUAACUUUCAUGUGGAGAAGUUGUCAGCUACAUGCAGAGAACAGGAGGCUCAACUGCAGAUAUGAAGAGAUGACAACUAACAGGAAUCAGACAAAAUUUUGGUGACCAUUUUUAUAAAAAUACAGUAGUCAUGAUGUCACAUAAUAUGACUGAUACAGACAGCAUUGGCUACAAGUUCUUGGGAGAAGUAGCAUGAACCAGGAGUCAUUUGAGGAGGAAUGUAAGAAUUUCUGGAAAAACAAUGACAGAAACUUGUGUCAAAACAUUAAAAGGAUGACCAGUAAACAGGCUAAAAUAUUAUAAAACAGGUCAGUUAUAUAAAUAGAUAGGUCAUGUAUAUAACAGAAUCAUGGAAAGACUAUGGAGGAAAUAACAAACCAAGUUGCAAUGUUCGGAUGAAAUAAUGGAGGGGUGAAAUAAUGGAACACAAGGUCACUGGUUCAUUUAAUCUGGAGGACAGAAAAUAUAUACUGAGACUGUAUGUAAGGAAUGUGACAUUUUCACUGCAUAUGAUUCAGGUUCUUCCGUUCUGUCCUGUGUUUGUAGCUUCAGCAGAUGUGUUAGAAAUUGUUCCUGCUAUAUGAGAAUAUGAAGAGACAUUCUGUGUCUUGCUAGAAACUUAUUAUAUUGGCCUUGAAGUGUCAUUCAUACAAAUGAGCACCACAAAGUUCAAAUUUGUGAAACAAACAGGAUUGUCAGUACUAUGAUACAACAUGGCUGGAUUUAUUUUAUUAAUGAAAUAAUCAAGGCCUUCUUGUGCUUAUCAUUUACCAUGUUUCAUAUUUCAGAUGUGCAGGAAUUGAGUAUUAAAGCAACAGCUGAAAGAUGUUCCAAUAUCAAAGCAUCAAAAAGACAGUUCAUGGUAAAUCGAAUGAUAAACUACAAGAAGAUGAUACAUGGUAAAACAAAUAAUAAAUCAGAAGAUAAACCACAAGAAGAUGAUCCAUGGUAAAUCAGAAGAUAAACCACAGAAAGAUGAUCCAUGGUAAAUCAGAAGAUAAACCACAAGAAGAUGAUCCAUGAUAAAUCAGAAGAUAAACUAAAAGAGGGUGAUCCAUGGUAAAUCAGAAGAUAAACUAAAAUAAGAUAAUCCAUGGUAAAUCAGAAAAUAAACCACAAGAAGAUGAUCCAUGUUAAAGCAGAAGAUAAACUACAAGAAGAUGAUACAUGGUAAAUCAGAAGAUACACCACAAAAAAGAUGAACCAUGGUAAAUCAGAAGAUAAACCACAAGAAGAUAAUACAUGUUAAAUCAGAAGAUAAACCACAAAAAGAUGAUCGGUGGUAAAGCAGAAGAUAAAUUACAAGAAGAUGAUACAUGGUACAACAGAACAUAAACCACAAAAAGAUCAUCCAUGGUAAAUCAGAAGAUAAACCACACGACAGCAAUGCUUAUUUUCAUUCAGACAUAUUCUUUACCAUAAACUAAUUGAGGAAAAAUAGACUUCAUUCAUCUGCUUUGUAAUGAAUCUGAUGUCGCGAUUGAUGUAAUAAAUGUUCUCUCAAAGGUC
This is a long non-coding RNA of Mercenaria mercenaria, 4343 nucleotides long. RefSeq lists it as uncharacterized. NCBI's taxonomy places the organism in Eukaryota, Metazoa, Mollusca, Bivalvia, Venerida, Veneridae. The record is from RefSeq and is a predicted model, not a curated record. The transcript is spliced from 7 exons.